GAUGAAGAACGCAGCGAAAUGCGAUAAGUAGUGUGAAUUGCAGAAUUCAGUGAAUCAUCGAAUCUUUGAACGCACAUUGCGCCCCUUGGUAUUCCAUGGGGCAUGCCUGUUCGAGCGUCAUUUCAACCCUUAAGCCCUGUUGCUUAGCGUUGGGAGCCUACAGUACUGUAGCUCCCCAAAGUUAGUGGCGGAGUCGGUUUCACACUCUAGACGUAGUAAUUUUUUCUCGUCUGUAGUUGAGCCGGUCCCCUGCCGUAAAACACCCAAUUUAUCAAGGUUGACCUCGGAUCAGGUAGGAAUACCCGCUGAACUUAAGCAUAUCAAUAAGCGGAGGA
RNAcentral lists this unclassified non-coding RNA (335 nucleotides) under soil metagenome. RNAcentral describes it as "partial contains 5.8S ribosomal RNA, internal transcribed spacer 2, and large subunit ribosomal RNA". The stretch from base 1 to 120 matches the Rfam family "5.8S ribosomal RNA", at positions 35 to 154 of the family's 154-position model. The record is from RNAcentral.